AUUAAUUUAUACCUUCUCUCCUUCUUGUGGGGUCCUCCUUUUUCACAGGUAAAGGACAGCCUCAUCACCAGCCUGGAAAGGGUUGUUAUGCCCACUAAAAAGCUCUCUGCUUGAUGGGUUUUCACGGCGACAUUCAUCAAAUAUCAACUGGACUUUGAUCUCUGGCUUCAACCCAAUUCACUAUCCCUCAGUUUCUCUCCUUUUUGGUUUUCUUCUUGAGUUUCGCGUUGGGACGCGCCAACCACUGGGCAUUAAAGGCUUCUGUCCGUGAGUGGAUGUGGCUAAUGUAACUGAUUGCUCUUUGAAGAGGCUGGGCCAGGAUCAACCAGCUUGAGCUUGGUUGAUCAUGACUACAUUUUAGAGGGGAGUGAGGCCUGGUUUGUUGAGAUUAGACAUUUGGUUGCUUUGGGAUGUCUGCUACCUCUUCUCUCUUGACCAGUUGUUGGUCCCCACUUGCACGUAAGUAGGGGCUGGUUUGUUGAGAUUAGACAUUUGGUUGCUUUGAGAUGAUUUUUAUUUUUGAACCUCUGUUGCCUCUUCUCUCUUGCCCAAUUACUGGUGUUGGAAUGUUACAAGGUAAGGUUCUAUUUCAUUUAUGGUUUGGUUUCCUAUCCAGUUCCCCGUUCAAUUCCCAGUUUAUUGCUUUUCACAUGAAUUAUUUGCCUGUCAUGAAUAGGAUGUUUGUGCUUUGAGAAAUUAGGUUGCUUUAUUUCUCAGGAAAACAAUGUGACAUGUGAGUGAAUCCACUGUGGAUUUAAACAGUGUUUUUCGUUAUGAUUUUCUCAUUCUCGCCUUUCUUCUCGCGUGAUUUGAUGUCUUCACUGGCUUUCUUCUCUACACUUGUAUUAAUUAUUUUCCA
Populus nigra (black poplar) is the source of this 859-nucleotide long non-coding RNA. RefSeq lists it as uncharacterized. The record is from RefSeq and is a predicted model, not a curated record. Lineage: Eukaryota; Viridiplantae; Streptophyta; Magnoliopsida; Malpighiales; Salicaceae. The transcript is spliced from 3 exons.